This 420-nucleotide ribosomal RNA is filed under the name Chloroflexota bacterium. RNAcentral describes it as "Chloroflexi bacterium partial 16S ribosomal RNA". It matches the Rfam family "Bacterial small subunit ribosomal RNA", at positions 355 to 776 of the family's 1533-position model. Lineage: Bacteria; Bacillati; Chloroflexota. The record is from RNAcentral.
UGGGGGAUAUUGCACAAUGGGCGAAAGCCUGAUGCAGCGACGCCGCGUGGGGGAUGAAGGCUUUCGGGUUGUAAACCUCUUUCGCUAUCGAACAAGGCCCGCUUAGGGUGGGUUGAGGGUAGGUGGAGAAGAAGCACCGGCUAACUCCGUGCCAGCAGCCGCGGUAAUACGGAGGGUGCAAGCGUUAAUCGGAAUUACUGGGCGAAAAGCGCACGCAGGCGGUUUGUUAAGUCAGAUGUGAAAUCCCCGGGCUCAACCUGGGAACUGCAUCUGAUACUGGCAAGCUUGAGUCUCGUAGAGGGGGGUAGAAUUCCAGGUGUAGCGGUGAAAUGCGUAGAGAUCUGGAGGAAUACCGGUGGCGAAGGCGGCCCCCUGGACGAAGACUGACGCUCAGGUGCGAAAGCGUGGGGAGCAAACAGG